This 346-nucleotide unclassified non-coding RNA is filed under the name Hevea brasiliensis (rubber tree). Lineage: Eukaryota; Viridiplantae; Streptophyta; Magnoliopsida; Malpighiales; Euphorbiaceae. The record is from RNAcentral.
CUUUUGUUGGCAUCAGGUAAGUAAGUGGUAGGUUUAUUGAUUUUUUAAUUUAAAAAAAAAAAAAAAACACUUACCGUUGCUGUGAAGAGGCGUCGCCUCUCGCCUGCGUCGCCUCUCGCCUCUCCGGCCUGAGGCGUCGCCUCCCCAAAGUCCAGCCAGGCAUUCCAGUCGAGGCGACAGAGGGCCGUCUCGCCUGGGCGCCUCUCUCGCCUUUGAUAACACUGGGUUCUAUAUGUUUCACAAACAUUUGGGUAAGUCUUGUAAAACAUUUUUUACAUUUUCUAGUUUUUGGCAAGCUUAGGAAAAUAGGUGAAUGUAAAAUAUCCUUCUAGUCAAAAGAAAAACU